This 349-nucleotide unclassified non-coding RNA is filed under the name soil metagenome. Its description in RNAcentral is "partial contains 5.8S ribosomal RNA, internal transcribed spacer 2, and large subunit ribosomal RNA". The stretch from base 1 to 121 matches the Rfam family "5.8S ribosomal RNA", at positions 35 to 154 of the family's 154-position model. The record is from RNAcentral.
GAUGAAGAACGUAGCGAAAUGCGAUAAGUAAUGCGAAUUGCAGAAUUUCCGUGAGUCAUCGAAUCUUUGAACGCACAUUGCGCCCAUUGGUAUUCCGAUGGGCAUGCCUGUUCGAGCGUCAUUAUCUUCCCUCAAACCUCGGGUUUGGUGUUGGGCCGCGCUGGUUCCUUCGUGACCAACUGGCCUCAAAGACAAUGGCGGCGUCCGUGGGACCCUCGGUGCAACGAGCUUUUAGGAGCACGCGCUGAGUUUCAAGGACCCUCCGGGCCGGUCUCCUAUUUAUCAUCAAGGUUGACCUCGGAUCAGGUAGGAAUACCCGCUGAACUUAAGCAUAUCAAUAAGCGGAGGA